Molecule: ribosomal RNA, 1477 nt
Filed under: Bacillus sp. 2BSG-10NA-19
Lineage: Bacteria; Bacillati; Bacillota; Bacilli; Caryophanales; Bacillaceae
Description: bacterial SSU rRNA
Rfam family: Bacterial small subunit ribosomal RNA
Source: RNAcentral
AGGACGAACGCUGGCGGCGUGCCUAAUACAUGCAAGUCGAGCGGACCGACGGGAGCUUGCUCCCUUAGGUCAGCGGCGGACGGGUGAGUAACACGUGGGUAACCUGCCUGUAAGACUGGGAUAACUCCGGGAAACCGGGGCUAAUACCGGAUGCUUGAUUGAACCGCAUGGUUCAAUCAUGAAAGGCGGCUUCGGCUGCCGUUUACAGAUGGACCCGCGGCGCAUUAGCUAGUUGGUGAGGUAACGGCUCACCAAGGCGACGAUGCGUAGCCGACCUGAGAGGGUGAUCGGCCACACUGGGACUGAGACACGGCCCAGACUCCUACGGGAGGCAGCAGUAGGGAAUCUUCCGCAAUGGACGAAAGUCUGACGGAGCAACGCCGCGUGAGUGAUGAAGGUUUUCGGAUCGUAAAGCUCUGUUGUUAGGGAAGAACAAGUACCGUUCGAAUAGGGCGGUACCUUGACGGUACCUAACCAGAAAGCCACGGCUAACUACGUGCCAGCAGCCGCGGUAAUACGUAGGUGGCAAGCGUUGUCCGGAAUUAUUGGGCGUAAAGCGCGCGCAGGCGGUUUCUUAAGUCUGAUGUGAAAGCCCCCGGCUCAACCGGGGAGGGUCAUUGGAAACUGGGGAACUUGAGUGCAGAAGAGGAGAGUGGAAUUCCACGUGUAGCGGUGAAAUGCGUAGAGAUGUGGAGGAACACCAGUGGCGAAGGCGACUCUCUGGUCUGUAACUGACGCUGAGGCGCGAAAGCGUGGGGAGCGAACAGGAUUAGAUACCCUGGUAGUCCACGCCGUAAACGAUGAGUGCUAAGUGUUAGAGGGUUUCCGCCCUUUAGUGCUGCAGCAAACGCAUUAAGCACUCCGCCUGGGGAGUACGGUCGCAAGACUGAAACUCAAAGGAAUUGACGGGGGCCCGCACAAGCGGUGGAGCAUGUGGUUUAAUUCGAAGCAACGCGAAGAACCUUACCAGGUCUUGACAUCCUCUGACAUCCCUAGAGAUAGGGCUUCCCCUUCGGGGGCAGAGUGACAGGUGGUGCAUGGUUGUCGUCAGCUCGUGUCGUGAGAUGUUGGGUUAAGUCCCGCAACGAGCGCAACCCUUGAUCUUAGUUGCCAGCAUUCAGUUGGGCACUCUAAGGUGACUGCCGGUGACAAACCGGAGGAAGGUGGGGAUGACGUCAAAUCAUCAUGCCCCUUAUGACCUGGGCUACACACGUGCUACAAUGGACAGAACAAAGGGCAGCGAAGCCGCGAGGCUCAGCCAAUCCCACAAAUCUGUUCUCAGUUCGGAUCGCAGUCUGCAACUCGACUGCGUGAAGCUGGAAUCGCUAGUAAUCGCGGAUCAGCAUGCCGCGGGUGAAUACGUUNCCCGGGGCUUGUACACACCGCCCGUCACACCACGAGAGUUUGUAACACCCGAAGUCGGUGAGGUAACCUUUUGGAGCCAGCCGCCGAAGGUGGGACAGAUGAUUGGGGUGAU